This 257-nucleotide ribosomal RNA is filed under the name uncultured bacterium. Its description in RNAcentral is "partial 16S ribosomal RNA". It matches the Rfam family "Bacterial small subunit ribosomal RNA", at positions 524 to 777 of the family's 1533-position model. The record is from RNAcentral.
UACGGGGGGAGCAAGCGUUGUUCGGAUUUACUGGGCGUAAAGGGCGCGUAGGCGGCCACCGCAAGUCGGACUGUGAAAUCUCCGGGCUUAACCCGGAACGGUCAGCCGAUACUGCGGGGCUAGAGUGCAGAAGGGGCAACUGGAAUUCUCGGUGUAGCGGUGAAAUGCGUAGAUAUCGAGAGGAACACCUGCGGCGAAGGCGGGUCUCUGGGCCGAUGACUGACGCUGAGGAGCGAAAGCGUGGGGAGCGAACAGGA